This 253-nucleotide ribosomal RNA is filed under the name uncultured bacterium. RNAcentral's name for it is "partial 16S ribosomal RNA". It matches the Rfam family "Bacterial small subunit ribosomal RNA", at positions 524 to 776 of the family's 1533-position model. The record is from RNAcentral.
GACGUAGGGCGCGAGCGUUGUCCGGAUUUAUUGGGCGUAAAGAGCUCGUAGGCGGCUUGUCGCGUCGACUGUGAAAUCCCGCGGCUCAACUGCGGGUCUGCAGUCGAUACGGGCAGGCUAGAGUUCGGUAGGGGAGACUGGAAUUCCUGGUGUAGCGGUGAAAUGCGCAGAUAUCAGGAAGAACACCAAUGGCGAAAGCAGCUUUCUGGGACGGUACUGACGCUGAGACGCGAAAGCGUGGGGAGCGAACAGG